RNAcentral lists this ribosomal RNA (270 nucleotides) under uncultured archaeon. RNAcentral describes it as "partial 16S ribosomal RNA". It matches the Rfam family "Archaeal small subunit ribosomal RNA", at positions 477 to 747 of the family's 1478-position model. The record is from RNAcentral.
CAGCACCUCAAGUGGUCAGGAUGAUUAUUGGGCCUAAAGCAUCCGUAGCCGGCUCUGUAAGUUUUCGGUUAAAUCUGUAUGCUCAACAUACAGGCUGCCGGGAAUACUGCAGAGCUAGGGAGUGGGAGAGGUAGACGGUACUCGGUAGGAAGAGGUAAAAUCCUUUGAUCUAUUGAUGACCACCUGUGGCGAAGGCGGUCUACCAGAACACGUCCGACGGUGAGGGAUGAAAGCUGGGGGAGCAAACCGGAUUAGAUACCCGCGUAGUCC